This is a microRNA precursor of Chinchilla lanigera (long-tailed chinchilla), 127 nucleotides long. The record is from Ensembl. Lineage: Eukaryota; Metazoa; Chordata; Mammalia; Rodentia; Chinchillidae.
GGUCUCACUGUGCAGUUCAGGCUGAUCUUGAGCUCACUUUGUAGCCCAGGCUGGCCUUGAACUCACAACAAUCCUCCUGCCUCUGCCUCCCGAGUGCUGGGAUUACAGGCAUGUGCCACCAGGCCCG